GACGAACGCUGGCGGCGUGCCUAAUACAUGCCAGUCGAGCGGACGAAUCGAAAGCUUGCUUUUGAUUCGUUAGCGGCGGACGGGUGAGUAACACGUGGGCAACCUGCCCUGUAGACGGGGAUAACACCGAGAAAUCGGUGCUAAUACCGGAUAACACGAAAUGUCGCAUGACGCUUCGUUGAAAGACGGCGCAAGCUGUCGCUACAGGAUGGGCCCGCGGCGCAUUAGCUAGUUGGUGAGGUAACGGCUCACCAAGGCGACGAUGCGUAGCCGACCUGAGAGGGUGAUCGGCCACACUGGGACUGAGACACGGCCCAGACUCCUACGGGAGGCAGCAGUAGGGAAUCUUCCGCAAUGGACGAAAGUCUGACGGAGCAACGCCGCGUGAGCGAAGAAGGCCUUCGGGUCGUAAAGCUCUGUUGUUAGGGAAGAACAAGUAACGCAGUAACUGGCGUUACCGUGACGGUACCUAACGAGAAAGCCACGGCUAACUACGUG
RNAcentral lists this ribosomal RNA (498 nucleotides) under uncultured bacterium. Its description in RNAcentral is "partial 16S ribosomal RNA". It matches the Rfam family "Bacterial small subunit ribosomal RNA", at positions 28 to 507 of the family's 1533-position model. The record is from RNAcentral.